RNAcentral lists this ribosomal RNA (492 nucleotides) under uncultured bacterium. RNAcentral's name for it is "partial 16S ribosomal RNA". It matches the Rfam family "Bacterial small subunit ribosomal RNA", at positions 29 to 507 of the family's 1533-position model. The record is from RNAcentral.
AGUGAACGCUGGCGGUAGGCCUAACACAUGCAAGUCGAACGGCAGCACAGUAAGAGCUUGCUCUUACGGGUGGCGAGUGGCGGACGGGUGAGGAAUACAUCGGAAUCUACCUUUUCGUGGGGGAUAACGUAGGGAAACUUACGCUAAUACCGCAUACGACCUACGGGUGAAAGCAGGGGAUCUUCGGACCUUGCGCGAUUGAAUGAGCCGAUGUCGGAUUAGCUAGUUGGCGGGGUAAAGGCCCACCAAGGCGACGAUCCGUAGCUGGUCUGAGAGGAUGAUCAGCCACACUGGAACUGAGACACGGUCCAGACUCCUACGGGAGGCAGCAGUGGGGAAUAUUGGACAAUGGGCGCAAGCCUGAUCCAGCCAUACCGCGUGGGUGAAGAAGGCCUUCGGGUUGUAAAGCCCUUUUGUUGGGAAAGAAAAGCAGCAGGUUAAUACCCCGCUGUCCUGACGGUACCCAAAGAAUAAGCACCGGCUAACUUCGUG